AACACUUGGAGCCCCUGUGAGUGGUUCUGUGUGUUGGGGUGGAGGAGGGUGCGUCCGAGAGGAGGAAGGAUGAUGAGGCGGCUAGCCUGCGCCCCACCUCUGAUUGUGUAAGCGCCUUUCUCGGGGUUGACCCCUACCCUUUGGAUUUUGAAUUUGGGGAUGAGGAAAGACGGACGGAAACUCGAUGCCCAAGUGAAUGGUGGUUCACACUGAUUGGCAGGGAAAGUGCAAACAAAGAGGUGCAUCUCCGGGAAACGAUGAUUUUGGAGAUCCCCUGCCCACCACCGGACUUGUGCGCGGUGCGGAGGGGGCCAGGGCUGGCAUCUCCGGAGAAAGUUUCCAGCCAGGCAGUGGGAGGAGACGCUCCGGGUAGAGUUGCGAGGAACUGGGGACCCAGCAGCCCCAGCUCGCCUCGGAGGUUCCCGAGCCGGGCGGGAGAUGCGGGGAAAGGGAGGGGGCUGGGAGGGAGGGGAGGGAGAGAGGAAGAAGGGGUGAGAGGGAGAAACCUGCCGCCGCUCGCCGCCUCUUUGUCUGCUCCGGGACUUGGAACAAAAGGGGGAAUUCUGAUGAACUCUCUUUCCUCCCCUCUCCCCCGGACGCCGGGGUAUCUCUCACAACUUUGCCGCCGCGACUUUCUCUGCUGUCAGGCCAGGAAAAAGUGUCCGAGCGCCUCGCAGACUGCAGCGGGGGAAAGGUCUCUUAAAAGUGCGACCAAGUGGGGAAGAAGCCAACAACAUGGAAGUACCAAGACAAGGUCAAAUCAUUCCUGAAUGGAGUCAUCACACCUCUUUACGUGGAGUUACUUAAAAGUUAACGUUGGCAUUUUUGAUGAUACCUUUUCUAUAUGGAUUACAAUUUGAUUGCUGGGAAUUCUCCACCUUGAAGAAGCACCCUCAGGUGACUCCAGAUGUGUUAACACCCAGUAUAUUCAGGUGUGAAUCAUGGCAGUGCAGUGAAGGACGGUGAUUUACCGCUUUUGAGGGCAUGCAUGUAUAUGAUUAAGGGAUGGAGGUGAAGGACUCCAAGAUUUACUUCCUUCCCUUUCCAGCAGAGUUACCUGAGAGGAGUGAGUAAUGGGAUCAUUGGUAACACCACCGGCCCCUUUUCAAGAGACCAGUAAUCAAAACAGGAACACCAAACUGAGAAGAUUUCAGCUGGGAGAAUACAACUUUUGAUACUUUCUGGAUCUACCUCUUAGCACACAGGAGAGUCUUCAGAGUUUUCCUGUUUUAUUUUUUCAUGGAGAUUUUCGUUAAAAAGAUACUUCGGGUUUGACGUGACUAUCUUGGUGGUGGCAGUAGACUUCUCAUAUUAGAGAUAUGAUAAAAUGGUGAAAAGUUCCAAGCUCGUCCUCCUCUCCCAUCUAUGCCAGAUAUCACUGGAUGGAACCGAGCAGGAGAGGAGGAAAGUGGCAGAUACUAUGUGACGGCUGAGAAGCAGUGUUGGUAAAAUCUGCUGGUGGAGUCACUCCAUUAUUCUUACCCAUGGAGAGGUAGAUCUUGAUUUGAAAGUUUCUGAGAAAAUCUUCAGCUCAGACUUGAGGUCAACUUUACCAACUGAAGAAGAGUCACCAAGGAUGCUUGUGCUCAGGGGGACCACCAUGUGAAGAGGCAGUAGGAGGGAGGCGGUCUACAGGACAAGGAGAGAGAGACUUCAGGAGAAACUCACCCUGCUGGCACUGUGAUCUUGGACUUCCAGCCUCCAGAGCUGUGAGACAAUCAGUUUCUCUUGCUUAAGCCCUGCAGUCCAUGGUCUUUUGUUACGGCAGCCUUAGCAGACUAAUACAGUAUUCAUAUUUUAAAAGAAGUUCUUCAUCUUUUUAAUGGAUAGAAACAUUUUUAUAUCUAUUCACUAUAAGUCAAUUGCAAAUGAAUGAUUAAUAGAUAAUGUCAUACUGAGCCCGAAUCUUGUUCUUCUGUCAGAGUGUGUUAAUGACAUUUUCAGGACCCCAGUUUUAAUGUUUAAACUCUGGGAGCGCCUAUGUGUAAAUAUUUAAAAUGGGACAGAGAGCACUAUCACUUGCAGGAUUUUACACCUCAUAGUUGGGAGGUUAAAUGAGAAAGACCUUGGUAAAGUCCUGACAUGUGCCUGGCAUUCUAUGUGUUAGCUGUAAUUAUUGCUAGUAGUGUUUCUUGUGCUUAUUUCAUUGCAAUUUAGUUUUCUUAAGAGGUGUAGGCUCUAAAAUGAAUUUCACAUGGUAGACCUUGGGAAAAAGGUGGCGAGUGAAAUUUGUGGAGACUGUAGCUGUUUCCCACUGGCCUGAGGUUAAACAGUUGAGAGUGAGAUUGUGAGCAUCCUCUUAGGAGCAGACACAUCUCUGUUCUUCCUCCAGCCCCAGCACGGUUGUCUGCCUUGUGGGAUUGGGCAGCAGCAGCAGAUAAUGAGAGAUGAAUUUGUCAUUCCAGGGCUACUUUUGCUCUUAGGAUCACAUCUGUGCUUUUUCCAGAAGGCAGAAAAGAAAGAGAAGGGAGGGUUUGGUGGUCUUGAGCUUUGCAGACUUGACUUUAUGGACCUAAAUGGCACACAGGCUAUGCGUGUUGUGUGUGUGCAUGUGCGUGUGCCUACAUAUAUGUACGGGUAUACUAACAUCAGGCAAACGCUAAUUAUUUGCUGCGAGAAUGUCAUUAAUAGCAUGUGGCUGUUGAAUGAGGGAUGAGAAGUGUGCCUGAGCACGCUGUUAUUAUUAAGCAAUGGGAAUUAAGCAUUUUCUUUCAAAAUUCUUUGUCCCUAAAUCAAUCUCAUUCUGCUUCUGCUUCCCCUUUCCUUCCUUCUCAAUUAGCUUUCUCGAUCUCCCUCUUUAUCUCUUUUCUCUCUCUCUCCAGUCCACCAUAGUGCCUGGAAUUAUGCAGUUAGAAAUUUGAUCUUUGAAGACACUGUGGCCUUUUCCAAGAAUUUCCUUUUAAAUGAGGAAUAUUCUGGGAAGUUAGGCCAUGGCUCCCUGUGAAGGGUUGAUGCAUUCGAUCACUUUGGCAUAUGGUAGCUUGGACUUAGUAGAGGAGGGAGGAGUGUUUUUGGAGAAAUAUCUGUUAUUGGGGCCCUGUAGUCCUCAUUCUAGGGCAUCUACUCCCAGUGGCUUCACUUCUCUGCUAGAGCAUUUUAACUUUGUGUUUUUGUUUUGAUAACAGUCAUAAACUGAUAUCAACACAUUGUGAGUCAUCUGAAUGAUAAUUUCAUAACAGGGUCAUCCCAUGAAACUUCAGCACCUGUGUUUUUAUUUGCAUCUGCCCCUAAAUCUUUGUGUCUGGCUAAUGAUUGAUUCAUAAAUGAUAUGUUUCCACCAAGAUUGGGGUGGGUGACAUCAUUUUUUGCUAUGUCUAAUAGGGUGGAAAGAGAAUUGACCUGUCUUGCUGCCCCAAGUAAGGAAAACACUCCUAGCUCAUAAGAACCUUGGCCAUAGUCUCAGUGCCAUUAUCACACUGCAGUGACCAAUUAAAUUCCUUGUAGCAAAACUUCUUCUGCCGCAUUCCAUGAAUAUUGUUACAUUGUGUUGGUUUUAUAACUUUACUUGAAUUUUUCUUAUACAUUUAUUUAAGUUUUGUAGUUGCCUAGGAGUUAACAAGCCUAAGGGGUUUAUUCCUUAUUGUGUUUGUACACAAAAUUUGAAAACAUAAUAAAAGAAUUUGAGUCAGUACUGGGAGUAGGAGUAAAUUUUUGGAGACUGCUUAGGUUUAAGAAAUGAAGGUCGGGUGUGUAGCAGAGCCUGCCAGGCCUGGGUGAGUG
Non-coding RNA from Callithrix jacchus (white-tufted-ear marmoset), 3720 nucleotides. The record is from RefSeq and is a predicted model, not a curated record. Lineage: Eukaryota; Metazoa; Chordata; Mammalia; Primates; Cebidae.